AACCUGGUUGAUCCUGCCAGUAGUCAUAUGCUUGUCUCAAAGACUAAGCCAUGCAUGUCUAAGUACAAAUGCUAUACAAUGAAACUGCGAAUGGCUCAUUAAAACAGUUAUAGUUUAUUUGGUAAUCGAAUUUACAUGGAUAACCGUGGUAAUUCUAGAGCUAAUACAUGCUAUUAAGCCUGACUUCUUGAAAGGCCGUAUUUAUUAUGAUAACAGACCAAUAUUCCUCGUGUCUAUUGUGGUGAAUCAUAGUAACUUUUCGGAUCGCAUGGGUUUUGCCCGCGACAAACCAUUCAAGUUUCUGCCCCAUCAGCUUUCAAUGGUAGUGUAUUGGACUACCAUGGCUUUCACGGGUAACGGAGGAUUAGGGUUCGAUUCCGGAGAGGGAGCCUGAGAAACGGCUACCACAUCUAAGGAAGGCAGCAGGCGCGUAAAUUACCCAAUUCUGACUCAGAGAGGUAGUGACAAGAAAUA
RNAcentral lists this ribosomal RNA (474 nucleotides) under uncultured marine eukaryote. RNAcentral's name for it is "SSU rRNA". It matches the Rfam family "Eukaryotic small subunit ribosomal RNA", at positions 1 to 479 of the family's 1831-position model. The record is from RNAcentral.